RNAcentral lists this small nuclear RNA (263 nucleotides) under Spermophilus dauricus (Daurian ground squirrel). Its description in RNAcentral is "7SK RNA (ENSSDAG00000012071.1)". It matches the Rfam family "7SK RNA", at positions 1 to 270 of the family's 331-position model. Rfam says of the family: 7SK was discovered as an abundant small nuclear RNA in the mid-70s but a possible function has only recently been suggested. Two independent studies have found that 7SK RNA binds the CDK9/cyclin T complex (known as elongation factor P-TEFb). P-TEFb activates transcription by phosphorylating the C-terminal domain of RNA polymerase II. The record is from RNAcentral. Lineage: Eukaryota; Metazoa; Chordata; Mammalia; Rodentia; Sciuridae.
GGAUAUAAGUGCAAUCUAACUGUGACAUGUCACCCCAAUGACCACGAGGGUUAACUUGGCUUAUCUGGCUAGCAAGGUAGGUGUGCCUAGAUGCACUCGCUACUCUGUAUGCAUCUCUCCAUAAACUGCACAUUUGGACAAGGAGGAUAACAUUUCCCAAUAGAGGAAAAUCAUUCUUUAGUCAAGGAUAUACAAAAAAGUAGCUGUACUCCCUUGCUAAAACCUCCCCAAAAGCUCUCAAGACAUAUACACCAAGAAACUUU